RNAcentral lists this ribosomal RNA (253 nucleotides) under uncultured bacterium. Its description in RNAcentral is "partial 16S ribosomal RNA". It matches the Rfam family "Bacterial small subunit ribosomal RNA", at positions 524 to 776 of the family's 1533-position model. The record is from RNAcentral.
UACGUAGGGUGCGAGCGUUAAUCGGAAUUACUGGGCGUAAAGCGUGCGCAGGCGGUUUGUUAAGACAGAUGUGAAAUCCCCGGGCUUAACCUGGGAAUGGCGGUUGAAACUAGUCGACUAGAAUCUGGCAGAGGGGGGUGGAAUUCCACGUGUAGCAGUGAAAUGCGUAGAGAUGUGGAGGAACACCGAUGGCGAAGGCAGCCCCCUGGGCUGAGAUUGACGCUCAGGCACGAAAGCGUGGGGAGCAAACAGG